AGUGAACGCUGGCGGUAGGCCUAACACAUGCAAGUCGAACGGCAGCACAGUAAGAGCUUGCUCUUACGGGUGGCGAGUGGCGGACGGGUGAGGAAUACAUCGGAAUCUACUUUUUCGUGGGGGAUAACGUAGGGAAACUUACGCUAAUACCGCAUACGACCUACGGGUGAAAGCAGGAGAUCUUCGGACCUUGCGCGAUUGAAUGAGCCGAUGUCGGAUUAGCUAGUUGGCGGGGUAAGGGCCCACCAAGGCGACGAUCCGUAGCUGGUCUGAGAGGAUGAUCAGCCACACUGGAACUGAGACACGGUCCAGACUCCUACGGGAGGCAGCAGUGGGGAAUAUUCGACAAUGGGCGCAAGCCUGAUCCAGCCAUACCGCGUGAGUGAAGAAGGCCUUCGGGUUGUAAAGCCCUGUUGUUGGGAAAGAAAAGCAGCAGGUUAAUCCCCCGCUGUUCUGACGGUACCCAAAGAAUAAGCACCGGCUAACUUCGUG
RNAcentral lists this ribosomal RNA (492 nucleotides) under uncultured bacterium. Its description in RNAcentral is "partial 16S ribosomal RNA". It matches the Rfam family "Bacterial small subunit ribosomal RNA", at positions 29 to 507 of the family's 1533-position model. The record is from RNAcentral.